GUUUGGUCUCUCAGUUGUGGGUUCAAGCCCCACUUUUCUA
This 40-nucleotide transfer RNA is filed under the name Bokermannohyla circumdata (Espirito Santo treefrog). Its description in RNAcentral is "partial tRNA-Gln". Lineage: Eukaryota; Metazoa; Chordata; Amphibia; Anura; Hylidae. The record is from RNAcentral.